This 301-nucleotide ribosomal RNA is filed under the name uncultured bacterium. Its description in RNAcentral is "partial 16S ribosomal RNA". It matches the Rfam family "Bacterial small subunit ribosomal RNA", at positions 509 to 808 of the family's 1533-position model. The record is from RNAcentral.
CAGCCGCCGCGGUAAUACGUAGGUCCCGAGCGUUGUCCGGAUUUAUUGGGCGUAAAGCGAGCGCAGGCGGUUAGAAAAGUCUGAGGUGAAAGGCAGUGGCUCAACCAUUGUAGGCUUUGGAAACUGCUUAACUUGAGUGCAGAAGGGGAGAGUGGAAUUCCAUGUGUAGCGGUGAAAUGCGUAGAUAUAUGGAGGAACACCGGUGGCGAAAGCGGCUCUCUGGUCUGUAACUGACGCUGAGGCUCGAAAGCGUGGGGAGCGAACAGGAUUAGAUACCCGUGUAGUCCCUGUCUCUUAUACA